CUAGAGGACCUCAACUAUUCUGUGAACUGUAAUCAAUUUAUUCCACUACUAGGUAAAUGGGUGGCAUUAUUUAUUGUUUCAUUAUUUGGAGAGUUACAAAUUGAAUUCAGCAUUUUAAUGUAAUACUAGUAUUAUGAAUGCAGAAUUCUCAUAUAAAACCUACCCGAGUCGAACACUACGGUAAUUAAAGUACUCCCGGACAAGGGCAUGUUUGCAUGGACCCUGCCUGCAUGAUCCUUAUCCAUAUGUUUUUAUUUAUAAUUACUUUUUAAUUAAAAAUCAAAAGAUUCACCUAACUCCAUACAUACAUACAUACAUACAUACAUACAUACAUAUGAUGAUCGAUCUGUCAUAAAUAUCUUCUUUUGAUAUAAAUAUAUAUUAGUCGGAAAAAUCUCUUAGAUAUUAUUAUCCCUGUAUGUAUCCCUUCCCCCUUGCCUUGCCUUGCCUCUCUCAAAUUCCAAUGACAUAAUUAAUUUUAAUCUCAGUUCGUUUUAUCAUCCCAAUUAGUUAAACAAAGAUUUACAAAUGGCUAAUAGGUCAUGUUGCAAUUAAUCUGGUAAUAAGACAUGAUCUGUGAACUGUGAUCAAUUUAUUCCACUACUAGGUAAAUGGGUGGCAUUGUUUAUUGUUUCAUUAAUGGUUUAUUAGUCCAAAUAGGAAUUCACUAGGAUCAAUUUGCAAAGGGCAUAACCAAGAACUCCCCUUAUAGAAUGAGAUGAGCUACCAGAUUACUGGGAGUAUAUUUGUGUCUCAAAAAUAAAAAUAAAAACAAAAACAAGGAACAUGGAGUAGAACUCUAUAUAGAAAGUAAGAUUAGUGCUAUACAAUCUCAGGUAAAUCAAAGUCCAAACAUAUAAAAAGAUUUUAUAAUCUCAGGUAAAUCAAAGUCCAAACAUAUAAACAAUCAUAUUUUAAUAUAAAACUGAGAAUGAGUAUACUUGCCUCUGCUGCGACCUUCUUUGCAUAUAGCAAAUCUGCUUUAUUACCAGCAAGUGCCAUAACCAUGUUUGAAUUGCCUUAAGAAAAAUGAAAGAACAAAGAGAAGGAAUAAGUAAUUUGGAAAAUACAAAGGUUCCUAAACUUACCACUUUAUCAGUACAUGGUGGCUUUACAAUUUCUUGAGGUAAAAUUACUUUUUGUUGAUUCAAAACUUCCUGCACCUCUUCAAUUCCACCAUGUUGCUCACUCCCAUGGACAGUUUCUUCAGGUAAAUCAACAAUCUCCAGUUUCUCAAGAAAAUACAUGCGCCUGAAAAAUGCCAACAUUCAGUAGAAAUUAAAUGAAAUUAAAUGGAACUCAGAUUUUACUACAAGAUUUAAAUUAUAGUUUAACCAAAUCAUAGGAAUAAUGAAAAGCUACCAUGUAGUAAUUGAAAAAUGAUCCUCCAUUUUCUAUGAAUCGAGCAACUGCAAAUGCCAAAUCCUGAACUAGUCUCUGAUGUAUUGGGAUUCCAAACUCGGUAAACCUUGUCAUUUGAUAAAGUUAAUAGGAUAAAUGACAAUUUUUAACUAGUAGUUUCAGACGAUUACAGAAUCACAAACAUACAUAGCAUCCACUCCAAGCCUCAGUCCAAAUAGGGGGUUUGUAGGGUCUAUUAGGGGAGAAAGCAUCACAAUAGAAGCCAUUGCAUGUAUUUAUCAGCAGCAGUGAUAGCAAAUAAUUACAAAUGAUUUUGCUGACAAUUAAAAGAAGGUGCUUUAUAGCGAUAAUCUCAACCCUUCCAAACCAAUAUUUAAAUAAGUACUAGUAUUAGCUAUCUACAUUAUUUCAGAUAUGUAAUUAAUGUCAAAAGAAGAAUGAUCAAAUGUUUCGGGAGCUAAAAUUGCACCGAGAAACCUUUUUCCCUCUGUUGAUUUCCCAUCCAAUCGCAUUAGGAAUAUGUUGAUGAUCUUUCCAUGCUACAAAUUUUUUUAUUUCAUAUACAGCAAAACAAUUGUAGAAAGCUAACUCAGCCGUAGAAAUAGAAUAAUAUUUAUCAGAACAGAGGUGUUACGCAAUUUCUGCCACUCUCUACCUUGUGAAACAGAUAUCAAGGCUUCCCCAACCAGGGACAAACCCUAAUCAGCAAAUCCACGGUUCUCGCGAUAGCAAUAAAAAUAACAUUGAAUUUUGAGCAGAAAUAAAUGAAGUUAUUACAGAAAUAAAUAAAAAUAACUAUAAAUUUUGAGUAGAAAUUACAUAACAAUAAAAAAAAUAUUGAAAAGAACUUUCAAAUUAGAGCAGGGAAAUCAAACCAGUAGUAGAAGUUUCAAAUUAGUGCAAAUGCUUCUGAAGUGGAUCGAGUCAUAAAGAAAGUAGGUGUAAAUUUGAUAUGGAAUGAAUCAAAUGCACUAAAACUAUCCUAUCAGACAAACAGCAGGCAAAUACAUACUCAAAACAAUCUUUGGGUAAUAAUUUAAUUAACUCGAACUGGACACCACCAAGGAAGAUUAUUAACACUAUAGCAUACCUUCUCCAUGAAUCUCAACAGGUCGGUUUAUGUAUGAGAUUUUAUCCCAGCUAUCAAAAUAAGGUCCAUCUUCCUUUAUGUUCAGGUUGCAACAAGGGCAACAACUUUAAUCAAUCAAGCGAGUUCACCCUUCCCUCCUGUUUCUUCCUUCACUCGUGAUGUCGUGCAAUAAAGUCUUCAGUCUUGUAAUUGAUGUAAACAUCAGCCCCAAGAUCCUUGCAAACUGCUAAGUCAGCGUACUCGCCAUAAUGUUUUUUCAUAUAU
This 2716-nucleotide long non-coding RNA is filed under the name Panax ginseng (ginseng). RNAcentral's name for it is "long non-coding RNA (PGIN_LNC012850)". Lineage: Eukaryota; Viridiplantae; Streptophyta; Magnoliopsida; Apiales; Araliaceae. The record is from RNAcentral.